CCUCACCAGGUCCAGACAGCGUAAGGAUUGACAGGUUGAUUGUCCUUUCUUGAUUCUCUGGGUAGUGGUGCAUGGCCGUUCUUAGUUGGUGGAGUGAUUUGUCUGGUUAAUUCCGUUAACGAACGAGACCUUAACCUGCUAUUUAGUCGCUCGGUCUUUGUCCGUGCGCACUUCAUAGAGGGACUCUGCGGCGUCAAGCUGCGGUGAGGUUUAAGGCAAUAACAGGUCUGUGAUGCCCUUAGAUGUCCUGGGCUGCACGCGCGCUACACUGAUGCUUGCCUCGUGUUUACCCUCGGCCGAUAGGCCCUGGUAACCCCUAGUCUGCAUCGUGUUUGGGAUUGAUCUUUGCAAUUCUAGAUCAUGAACGAGGAAUGCCUAGUAUGCGCAAGUCAUCAGCUUGUGCAGAUUACGUCCCUGCCCUUUGUA
Molecule: ribosomal RNA, 426 nt
Filed under: Babesia bovis
Lineage: Eukaryota; Apicomplexa; Aconoidasida; Piroplasmida; Babesiidae
Description: SSU rRNA
Rfam family: Eukaryotic small subunit ribosomal RNA
Source: RNAcentral